CCGCAUAAGCUGACUCCAUAUAUAUAUUUUCUGGGGCCCCGCAGUGGCUGAGUUGCCCCGGGCCCCGCACCCUCCUAGGGACGGCCCUGACUAUUAGGACAGGAGGUGAUAGUUAUAUCCACGUGGUUAUUGCAUCUUUGUAUUUACUUAGGAAAUGAACUACUAAGGAAAAUAAAGGAAAUAGACGAUAAAGUGAUGGUCUUAUUAUAAAAGAGGUGACAUUUACUAGAACCUGACCUAACUAACCAAAGAAACCUAAUUAACUUACCUACUUUUUUAGCAGGGGGCGGAUCUCCCUUCAUACAAUGACAAUAAAGGCUAGUGACGGGGGGAGGUUCAGUGGAAGUUUAAAGGGGAUGAUGGAAGGGAAUUUUUGUGAGAGAAAAAAGGUGCCGUGGCUUAACACAACUUGCGUGUGGGCGAUGAGGCAGUGCCGUGAUUAGUGGAGGGAGCUACACCACGCUCGGACUCGACGGCAGGGGGAGUAUUAAAUAGAAAGUACUUAUUAGCCACUAACAGUGCCAGCCUGCAGCGGUUCAUGGCUUUCCUGGUGAGGCCUUCUCGCACUGAUGGUCCCCUGUCAAAGCUUUUCUACUGAAGGAGCCUAAUCUUUAAACCCACAGCAUUAGUUAACUGGCAAUCAGAAAUAUACAAACAGUGAGAGUCCUUUAACCCUCAUUGUCCACCUCAUCUGCACUCCAUUUGCCUGAGUGACUGUAGGAGGAGGUAGUGUUGCUGCUGGCUGCCCUGUGGGAGUAAAUUAAUCUCAAGCUUCUGUAACCUUCCUUUACCAGUACAAGAGAGGACAGGUGCUGCCAUGGACAUCCAUAGGAUUUUUUCCAGGGUGUGCAAGAAAGGAAGAGGUUGGCCACGAUGUGGGUGAGGGAGGGAUCAUCUACACUCCUGCUGGACAGGUCAUCCACCCCAUAAUGUAGGUGAAGGAGGGAUUAUCCGCCUUCCUCCUCCUGCUGCUGCUCAGAAUCGAAUAUGACGUUCAUCCAACUAAGAAGCCUAUUAUACAAUGAUACGAGUUAUUAAGGAUGUCACCUUCGUUGGUGAGUUCUCAGGUGACUAAAGAGGCCGAUACGGGAUUGGCAGGGUUGUCCACAGUUGUUGCAAAUGUGGGGGGCCACAUCUAGUGCGCGGGAGGAGCAGUAUCUUUCCAGCUUUGGCGUUUGUCUGCUUUGAUAUGCAGUUGGGUUAACUGGAAAGCAUCGAUACCUUCUGUGGUGCUCCUCCAAGUUUAAUGGUGUGGAGUAUUCAUUUCCCAUGUCAGGGGGGUCGAUUUGACAUUUUUUCAGGUUUGUCUCAAGACUAUUCUACUUUUUCAGUUGUCCGCCAGCGUUAUGUUUACUAUUCGUUAGGUGACCGUAGAAUAGCUGCUUUGGCAGUCUACUGUCGACCAUGCGGGUAACAUGGCUGCUGCUGGCUUGAUCGUUCACACCAUGAUGUGGGUGAAGGAGGGGUCAUCCACCCUACUUUACAAAUUAGUCAGACAUUUCAAGUACUGGGCAUUUAUUGACUGUUAUGCACUGUGUGUGUGUGUGUGUGUGUGUGUGUGUUUAGGGCUCUGGAGGACUGUGUGUGUGUGUGUUGGAGGGCUCUGGAGGACUGUGUGUGUGUG
RNAcentral lists this long non-coding RNA (1624 nucleotides) under Homarus americanus (American lobster). Its description in RNAcentral is "uncharacterized LOC121869384". Lineage: Eukaryota; Metazoa; Arthropoda; Malacostraca; Decapoda; Nephropidae. The record is from RNAcentral.